CCGCUUAUUCAUUUACUGCGUUUCUAGCUCUAACUUUGAGGCUGGCUAUUGCCCCCGGCGCGGCGGGGAGCGGGGCUGGGGCAGGCAGCCCUCGGAGGGAGGCGAGCCGCUCUCCGCACGCUGCGAGGCUGCCGGCCCCGCGGCUGUUUAACCGCGCCGGCAGCGCGGGCAGGAGCGCAGCCCGGUCCCCGGGGGGACACACAGAGGGAGGGGGGGACACGGGGACGCUGCUGUCGCCUGGCAACCCUGCAUCCCUGCCCGAGCAUCCCUCCCCCAGCGCCCUGAUUGGGCGGGGACGGGGACUCGGGGUGAUGAGGGGGGCGACCCUCCGAGGAUGCUGCGCUCUGGCGCUGAGGCUUGUCGCAUCCUCAAAAAGCCGUGAGCGGGCAGGGGGGACUGAGAGCAGACGGGAGAGCAGAGGCAGUGCUGGGUGUUGUAUCACCAUCCUCCUGCCUUCUCUUAUCCAGCCGGCUUGACAAAUCUGCUUCUGCUCUACAUCUCCUAGAAAAAGAAUGUAUUAAUCUCCUAGAAAAAGAAUGUACUACAUCCCCUAGAAAAAGAAUGUAUUAAUCGCCUAGAAAAAGAAUGUACUGCAUCCCCUAGAAAAAUAACGCAUUUGUGUAUCUAUAGAUACAAAAUAUAUAAAUAUAUGUUUAUAUGUAGAUGUAUAUAACUAAACUUAUGCAUAUACGAUGCAUGUUAUCUGUAUAUAUUCUAACUCUCCCAUAUGGGAAGACAGAAGGGAAAUAGUUAGUGAGAAAGAUCACUCCAGAGUGCAGCAAAACUGGAUGCAAAAGGGAAAAAGAAAGGUACUUUUUGUGUUAUGUAUCUUUGAAAAUCAAAGGUUUACAUCACCCGUAGUGUUAACAGGAGGUCGUGGUCCUUAAAGAGAGAAUUAAACACCAUGAGAUGCAUGAGCUGUGACAGUCCGUGAGGGUGGAUGCGUUGACUUCAGAGAGGGUGAGUUUAAGCUGUUCUGCAUGGAGCACUGCUGCUAUCACAGGUGGCUUCAUUGCUCAUCCUCUGCUCUGGGGGACAGUGAGCAGCUGCUGGUUGAGUGGCAUGGAGAGGGUGUCCAUAAAAUCCCAAUACCUCCCUUUCCAUUGGGACAGUGUGAAUUUCUCACCUCUAACUCUUCAGCAGGGGGAAAGCCAUCAUCCGCUUCUCCCUGAAUGCUUCCCCUCACCUUCGGAUUUGCCCCCAGCCCUGCUCCCCACUUACGUACCAUCAGUGCUCGGGUAAAGCAAGGGGAGAGGCACUGCAGUCAGGAGCUGCAAUCCAGCAACUCACAUGGGGCCACUAUUGUUACAGCAGCCGUGGUUCUGUCUUGCAGGCUGAUUGCCAGGAAAGACUAGUGGAAGGAAGGAUCUGAUUCUGCAUUGCCUUGUACACAGCAGUCAUGUUUCAAAAAAAUCCUGACACAUUCAGCACCCUAAAGAAAUAGGAUUUCGCCAAUGGUUUCGCUUCUCUGUACUGCUCAGUGGCUCUGCCUUGUAUAGCACACAUUAGUAUCACCCUGCAUUAUGGACAGAAUGGUCCAUUUCUUCUCCAGAUAAACAUUUAAGUGUGUUGCAAACUUUUUUUUUUAAUUAUUAUUAUUAUUUCAUUUAGUUUUACUUCAUUCCCAAGGUAAGGGAUUGUACUUUGGGUUUCAAUUUCACAGAAGUGACAUAGGUAUUAAAACCUGAAAGUGUUUGUGACUUCUAGGUGCCAGAUUUUUCAUGUUUAGGAGGUUUACACUGUCUGAAUAGCUUAAUUAUACAUUGAAACAAUGGCUGUUGCUCAUCUGUGCUCCAAGUUACUGGGUGUUAUUGUGUUCUAGAAUUUGGCUGAGAGAACAAUAUAGUUUUCUUAGAUUAGUUCUCAUACGUGACUAAAUAUGUUUGAACGAAAUUAUGUGUAGAGACAAACUACAUGGAAAAGUCCAUGCCAGUAACUAAAUUUUGACAAAGGUGUAAGCCAUUAUAAUCAGAGCUUCAUGAUAGGAAAAGCUCAGUGGUUGGACUACUACUUGGUAUUAGUCCUGGAGCCCUAACAAACUCCAAUAACUUACUAGUAAAUAAUGAAGAUAGUUUGGUUUAAAAUACCAGUUAACAUCAGCAAGGUAAUGAUCAUGCAUUAUCCAAAUCUUAUUGAUACCUUCACUCUGCAAAGCCAAUGUCAUGAGUCCUGUGGGAUGGCAGGGGUGUAGGUGACUUGCUCUUUUAUUGGUCUCUGUCUCUUACAGGUUCCUUGCCAAAUGUAUCUUAUUUUCAAACUUCAUAAGAAUAUCUCUAUGUGGGUUUUUACUCCCUCCUUCCCACAUAUGGGAAGGCUGAGAUCACAUGCAGAUAGUUGCUAGAGAUGGUGGACUUGCUCAACUUCCCAUUCUUCCUAUUAAAGUGGGCUGCCAGUGUUGGCUCUUAAAUAAUCAUGAGGGCUAAGCUGCCCAUCAUCUAUCUGCUGAUCGCACGUUCACAACAGUAAUUCCAUUUACAUGUCAUAAUUUUCUAUGUAAAGACUUAAUGAACGAAAAAUCCUUAAUUUUCCAGGUAGUAAAUGGCAACCGACACCAAACCCUCUCACUGUAGUAUGUCCUCAUUUCACCUGGUUUUAACUUUACAGCAUGUUUUGAAAGAUGUGGACUUUGGACUAUUGUGGAGAGAGGGUUUCAGAAGUGAAAAAAAGAGUGAGAAGAUCGCUAAAGUACAGAUCCUAGAUGGAUUAUGGCCUGGUAGUUUCCUUACAGCGUGGAAGAAGCACCUCAUGUGGUUAUCAGAAACUGGCCUAUGAAUAGAAAUAGCUUCCUAAGAACACUAUUGUGAGAUCACACCAAAUGCCCAUCCAGGACAGUCUUUUCUGUCUAGUCAUGGUCACUAGCAGAUGCUUAGAAAAACAUGGUGACUGCACAAGGCAUAAUUUUUUUCUCUUGAUAUACCAGUUAUAGCUUCCAGUAACCUGUGGUUUAGGGACCUUAAUCUUCUCCUGUUCUCAUUAUCCUGUUUGCCUUUACAAAGCCCUGCUGCAGGGAAUUCCCUGCCAUGUGUGAAAAGCACUUCCAUUUUCAGCCUGCCUCAGCAAGAAUCCUGAUUCUGAGCAAUCAUGAAUACUUUUUCCUUCCUCAUCCUCUUCACACUUCUCAUGGCUUUAGACAUUUGCCAUAUCCCUCCUCUGCAUGAAAGCUGAAAAAUUCUAGGCUGCUUUGUUUUCCUUUCUCAUGGUUUGCUUCUGAACACAUUUUUCCCCUUCUUUAUUCUCUGUUUAGCUUCACAGUACCUUUUUCUCAGAUCAGCAGAACACUGUUUGGAGCCCUCAAGGUGUGGGAUUAAUACUUAUUAUUACAGUGUCUUAAUGAUAUUGGUUUUCUUUAUUUUUUUGCUGUCCCUUCCUAAUAAUUUCUAAUAUUUUCUUUGUAAUUUUGACAGCUGAGCUGGCAUUUUCAGAGAAAUAUCUUAAGCAGUGAUAGUUACAUUAGAGUCCAUUGUAUCAUACACAUAACUCCAGUUAUUUUUUGUCUCAUCUGCAACAUUUCACAUUCAUUGACAGUGACUUUCAUCUGUAAUUUUGUUGACCAAUUAGUCAAUAUUGUGAGAUCCUUUUGUGCCUUGUAGCUGUUAGUUUUACUUUUCAGCAUUACGAAUCUCCCUCUCCAUGAGUAACAGUCUCAUGUCUCAUUAGCCAAUCAUUUUCCAGAUCUUUCCAGACUGUGUUAAGCAAUAUAAAUCCGAGAACAGACAUUUGCAGAACUCACUAGGGGAGUCUUCCUUCAUAACAAAACCUGAACAUAAAUCCUUACGCUUUGCUUCUUCCUUCUACUUCCUCUUGUCUUCACUAAGUUUCCUUGAGAAUCUUUUGUGAGGAUAUUAGUCAAAAAUGUUGUAAAGAUACAAAUAGAGGUCACCUGUAUCUGUUUGCUUACAGGUUCCAAAGUGUUCUUGCAACCAUAUGCGGCACAGCUUUCUCCAUGUCAAGAACCUUUCCCAAUAGAUUUGUACACAAAUUAGUUAACACUGUUCCUUGCCAUAGUUUUCAUAGCCAUUGUCUGGUAUGACAGACAGAUUUAUUCAACUGUAAUUCUCCAGAUCACCCCCAAAAAAUGCUUUAAACAACACCUGACAUAGUCUAUUUCUUUGGAAACAGGGCUGUUUCAAGGAAUACGUUAAAGACUAGAGGCAGUAGGUCAGCAAUUUCAUAUCUGAAUCCCCUGAAUCCCUUUACCACUUGGGUCUGGCAAUUUUUUAUUGUUUGUUUUAUAAUUUUUUAUGUAUUGCUGCUCUUGACAGCUGAAUUUGAGUGUUUCUCAGACUUGUCACCUGUAAAGAAAGGCUAUGGUGAACACUGGUGCAAAAAAAUAAUCAUUUGUUUUCUGUUACAGCCUUAGUAUCCUUUGGUGCUUUUUCUAUACCUGGACUAUUAUUGACCCCUUAACUCUGGCAACUUUCUCCUGAUGUAGUAAAAAAAAGAGAAAAGCUAUUUGCCUUGAUGCUUUUUUUACAUAUUGCACCUCAAAACCUUUUUCUGUUUAGUGUAUGACACUGAAUGAAGAUUUUUAUAUAUUGUAAAGCAAUUGCCUGAAUCCUAUCUCUAAGGCCAAUAGGCAAUCCCCUGCAGAGGAGGGAAAAAUGUCAAUAAUCUAUGCUGAAGAUGAGCUUCCCAGCUAUUCAUGAAGCAGGGAUAUUUGUGGCUGGUGCCUGAAGCAUCUAAGAACAAUUUAGUGGAAUCUCAAAGUACACUUCCAGUUACCUCUUCCACUGGUCCAGUGACACAGAUUUACUUCAUCAAUUCUCAUCAGGCUGUCAAGGCUUACUGUAGAAGGCCUUGCAGAGAAAUAAAUGGGAAAUACUUUGCUGACCCUCCUGCUCAAAAGAAUUUUCAUGCUUUGGACUGGCUAUUUCAUUUCUGACUCCCUCACCUUUCUGGUCUUUCUUCUAAACAUUAAGAAUGUCAGAGAUAUUACCCUAGCAGUAAAAAAGACCUUUUUUCAUGUGUUUCUGUUUCAUAUUUCCUGAAUUGCUUUUAUGAGAGCAGAAAAGGAGAAGGGGAAGUGAAAUGUCUACCUUAUUACACCAGCCUGAUCAAUAUAUGUCUUUUUUGCACUACAGUAGAAAGAUGAAGUUGGCUUAGUUGGUUUCAUAGCUUGCAACUAACUUUCUUUACUUCAGGCUAGGCAGACCUGAAGGAAACCUGUGCAUGCUAAUGGAUAAAAAGUCUUGAAGAUGUCUGCAGAGAAAAGGUGCUUCCCUCUUGUUCCAACAUAGCAGGUCCUGUUGACAUAGCUCAACCAGAGAAAGAGGAAAACUGGCCCCAAGUGUCUGCAAAAGCUUGGCAGAUUUAUUAAAAGUACCUAGUAACAACUACUUAUAUAUAACAUAGAAACAUACAUUCCUAAGUACUUGAGACAACCCUAUGCUCAGAGGUGACUACCAGAAUAACUUUACUUUUCCUAACUUUCUAGUCACAGACAAAGUAACAAGAAAAUAGUCAAACAUAUAAACACAUAUGAGAAAAAGGCAACUGAAAAAAGGCAUUUCAGAAAAUGCCUUUCAGAAAAAAGGCAUUAUGCUGAUGCUCCCAUGGGAGACCAGGAUAUCUGCAGGUGGAAAUAUGUCAAAGAGAUGACACUGCUUUAGGAGGAAAGCAUGUGGAGGGACAAAGCUGGAGUCAGAGACGCAGCUGAUAUAAUCCUGAGGCUACAGUUUAUAAUUCUCAAUCUUAUCUUAUUGCAAGGAUUGUUAUAACUAACAUUACACAUAAUUAAUAUAUGUUAUAUAUUAAGCAUAAUGCAUAAACAUGGUGCAUGGAAACCUUUGAGAUGUGUUGCCACCACAGUAAAUGCUUUAUGUGUUACUGGAACUCAUCUUUUCUGCAGUUAUAUUCAGUCAAAACACACAAAUACAAUUGCUUGUACAACGUAGUGGUGCUUGUGUUUCAAAUUGGAUGGCUCCAAAGAGGGACAGGCUGCAAAAUACGUGGGUGCAACUCCACAACUGGUAUCACAGCCUCUCAAUAAAUGUCAGUGCUGGUUUGUACUCCUACACCAAGUCAUGCUAAUCCUUCACAUCCUUCCCAAGGUUCCCUUCUCCUCUUCCUAAAAGGUGCACCACAAACCAUGAACCUUACAGCAAUGCUGAGAACCACAGCUCCUGGCUUCAGAGGGGAUUAUUGCACACAGAAGAAAGUACAAUGUGAAACGGCAGGUAUGAAAUCGCGUGUGGCAUCUCCUGUCUGAUGAGGCUAAGCCAAGGUGAAUAGCUGAGGUGCAGCUGCCUCAGGCUUGUGCUGCAGAAGCCAUAGGUGCAGGAAGCAGUCAAUGCCUGCCACUGAUGAAGCAGGUGGGACAGGCAAAGGGAAAGGUUUCAUCUGCCAUAGAUUACAAU
This is a long non-coding RNA of Strigops habroptila (Kakapo), 6356 nucleotides long. RefSeq lists it as uncharacterized. The record is from RefSeq and is a predicted model, not a curated record. Lineage: Eukaryota; Metazoa; Chordata; Aves; Psittaciformes; Psittacidae. The transcript is spliced from 3 exons.